This 897-nucleotide long non-coding RNA is filed under the name Arabidopsis thaliana (thale cress). Its description in RNAcentral is "potential natural antisense gene, locus overlaps with AT4G22235 (AT4G22233)". Lineage: Eukaryota; Viridiplantae; Streptophyta; Magnoliopsida; Brassicales; Brassicaceae. The record is from RNAcentral.
UUUAGACAGCUAGUUUUAUUGCAAAAGCCAAAGCUUUAUUUUGAUACCCCCAAAGUAGAAGGCAAACACUCAAACAUGGAUGUGAGAUGAAAUCAUAAACAUGCAAAUAGCAAAACACACAGACACACAAAUUAAGUGACGUCGUUUUCUAUCAUCUGCAAUCACAUGCUUUCCUUUUCAGCACCGCUCUUUGCAGCAUCAUAAUCACGGCAGCACCAACAUAUCCCUUGACCACCACCAACAUUUAAGCAUUCGCCUCCAUGAUACUUGCUGUCCACUGCCCUGCAUGGUACAUCGCAAGUAGAGAUCGUGUCCGCGAGUCUACAUAAACCCUUUCGAGAUAUGAGGAGGAUGGAGAGACAAACGACUAUUGCAAAUGUGCUCAGCUUUAAGCUCCCCAUUACUUGCUGAUCUCUUAGUUCUUCUUAGCUUCUUUCUUUUUUAGCAAUAGUUAGUUGGGAGAGAGCUUAACCAAACAUGCAAUUUUAUUGUAUUCUAUAUGUAAACUCGCACGCUAGCAACUGCGACCCGUAAUAUACGGUUAGCGACUUCGAUCAGAUUUUACUAUAUAUUGUUCGUUUUACUAUUGCUGUAACUGGUCGUCGUUUAGGUUGUUCGUUUUACUGUCGUGUGACUAGCUGUUACGACUUCAUUGACAUAUGUUUUCUUAAAUCAAAUUCUUAAAAUUUAUAUAUAGUUGUAAAUUGUAUAACUAAUUUCACUCCGAUCCGGUUCCCGAGAAGAUUUUCAAAUCUCAGAUCUGGAUGCAUGGAGGAGAUAUUUUAAAAAUAGUUGGAUUAUUAUACUUCUUUGUAAGUCGUUCCAUUCACUAUUUCCUUUUAGAUGCGAUCAGAUAUUUAUUAUACCAACUCGAAUUGUAUAUUACUAUAUUAUGAC